Molecule: unclassified non-coding RNA, 331 nt
Filed under: soil metagenome
Description: partial contains 5.8S ribosomal RNA, internal transcribed spacer 2, and large subunit ribosomal RNA
Rfam family: 5.8S ribosomal RNA (bases 1-120)
Source: RNAcentral
GAUGAAGAACGUAGUGAAAUGCGAUAAGUAAUGUGAAUUGCAGAAUUCAGUGAAUCAUCGAAUCUUUGAACGCUCAUUGCGCCCCCUGGUAUUCCGGGGGGCAUGCCUGUUCGAGCGUCAUUUCACCACUCAAGCCUCGCUUGGUAUUGGGCAACGCGGUCCGCCGCGUGCCUCAAAUCGACCGGCUGGGUCUUCUGUCCCCUAAGCGUUGUGGAAACUAUUCGCUAAAGGGUGUUCGGGAGGCUACGCCGUAAAACAACCCCAUUUCUAAGGUUGACCUCGGAUCAGGUAGGGAUACCCGCUGAACUUAAGCAUAUCAAUAAGCGGAGGA